ACUGAACGCUGGCGGCAUGCCUUACACAUGCAAGUCGAACGGUAACAGGUCUUCGGAUGCUGACGAGUGGCGAACGGGUGAGUAAUACAUCGGAACGUGCCUAGUAGUGGGGGAUAACUACUCGAAAGAGUGGCUAAUACCGCAUGAGAUCUACGGAUGAAAGCAGGGGAUCGCAAGACCUUGUGCUACUAGAGCGGCCGAUGGCAGAUUAGGUAGUUGGUGGGAUAAAAGCUUACCAAGCCGACGAUCUGUAGCUGGUCUGAGAGGACGAUCGGCCACACUGGGACUGAGACACGGCCCAGACUCCUACGGGAGGCAGCAGUGGGGAAUUUUGGACAAUGGGCGAAAGCCUGAUCCAGCAAUGCCGCGUGCAGGAUGAAGGCCUUCGGGUUGUAAACUGCUUUUGUACGGAACGAAAAGCCCCGGGUUAAUACCCUGGGGUCAUGACGGUACCGUAAGAAUAAGCACCGGCUAACUACGUGCCAGCCGCCGCAGUAA
This 498-nucleotide ribosomal RNA is filed under the name uncultured bacterium. RNAcentral describes it as "partial 16S ribosomal RNA". It matches the Rfam family "Bacterial small subunit ribosomal RNA", at positions 30 to 523 of the family's 1533-position model. The record is from RNAcentral.